UACACAUGCAAGUCGAGCGAUGAAGUUUCUUCGGAAAUGGAUUAGCGGCGAACGGGUGAGUAACACGUGAGGAAUCUGCCCUUCACUUUGGAAUAACUCCGGGAAACCGGAGCUAAUACCGGAUAGGAACUCUGGCGGCAUCGCCGGAGUUGGAAAGUUUUUCGGUGAAGGAUGACCUCGCGGCCUAUCAGCUUGUUGGUGAGGUAAUGGCUCACCAAGGCGACGACGGGUAGCCGGCCUGAGAGGGCGACCGGCCACACUGGGACUGAGACACGGCCCAGACUCCUACGGGAGGCAGCAGUGGGGAAUAUUGGGCAAUGGGCGAAAGCCUGACCCAGCGACGCCGCGUGCGGGAUGAAGGCCUUCGGGUUGUAAACCGCUUUCAGCAGGGAAGAAGCGAAAGUGACGGUACCUGAAGAAGAAGCACCGGCUAACUAUGUGCCAGCAGCCGCGGUAAUACAUAGGGUGCAAGCGUUGUCCGGAAUUAUUGGGCGUAAAGAGCUCGUAGGUGGUUCGUUACGUCGGAUGUGAAAACCUGAGGCUCAACCUCAGGCCUGCAUUCGAUACGGGCGAACUUGAGUGUGGUAGGGGAGGCUGGAAUUCCUGGUGUAGCGGUGGAAUGCGCAGAUAUCAGGAGGAACACNAAUGGCGAAGGCAGGCCUCUGGGCCACUACUGACACUGAGGAGCGAAAGCGUGGGGAGCAAACAGGAUUAGAUACC
RNAcentral lists this ribosomal RNA (720 nucleotides) under uncultured Actinomycetes bacterium. Its description in RNAcentral is "bacterial SSU rRNA". It matches the Rfam family "Bacterial small subunit ribosomal RNA", at positions 50 to 786 of the family's 1533-position model. Lineage: Bacteria; Bacillati; Actinomycetota; Actinomycetes. The record is from RNAcentral.